AUCAUUUAAAGAAAGCGUAAUAGCUCACUGGUCGAGUCGGCCUGCGCGGAAGAUGUAACGGGGCUAAGUAGUAAACCGAAGCUGCGGCAAUAUACUUUUGUAUAUUGGGUAGGGGAGCGUUCUGUAAGCGGUUGAAGGUGUGUGGUAACGCAUGCUGGACGUAUCAGAAGUGCGAAUGCUGACAUGAGUAACGAUAAAGGGGGUGAAAAACCUCCUCGCCGGAAGACCAAGGGUUCCUGUCCAACGUUAAUCGGGGCAGGGUAAGUCGACCCCUAAGGCGAGGCCGAAAGGCGUAGUCGAUGGGAAACGGGUUAAUAUUCCCGUACUUCUUACAAUUGCGAUGGGGGGACGGAGAAGGCUAGGUGGGCCUGGCGACGGUUGUCCAGGUUCAAGUGCGUAGGCUUAAGAGUUAGGUAAAUCCGGCUCUUUUUAAGGCUGAGACACGACGUCGAGCACCUACGGGUGUGAAGUCAUUGAUGCCAUGCUUCCAGGAAAAGCCUCUAAGCUUCAGAUUGUAAGGAAUCGUACCCCAAACCGACACAGGUGGUCGGGUAGAGAAUACCAAGGCGCUUGAGAGAACUCGGGUGAAGGAACUAGGCAAAAUGGUACCGUAACUUCGGGAGAAGGUACGCUCUUGAUGGUGAAGUCCCUUGCGGAUGGAGCUGACGAGAGUCGCAGAUACCAGGUGGCUGCAACUGUUUAUUAAAAACACAGCACUGUGCAAAAUCGUAAGAUGACGUAUACGGUGUGACGCCUGCCCGGUGCCGGAAGGUUAAUUGAUGGGGUUAGACUUCGGUCGAAGCUCUUGAUCGAAGCCCCGGUAAACGGCGGCCGUAACUAUAACGGUCCUAAGGUAGCGAAAUUCCUUGUCGGGUAAGUUCCGACCUGCACGAAUGGCGUAAUGAUGGCCACGCUGUCUCCACCCGAGACUCAGUGAAAUUGAAAUCGCUGUGAAGAUGCAGUGUACCCGCGGCUAGACGGAAAGACCCCGUGAACCUUUACUACAGCUUGGCACUGAACAUUGACCCUACAUGUGUAGGAUAGGUGGGAGGCUUUGAAGCACGUACGCCAGUAUGUGUGGAGCCGUCCUUGAAAUACCACCCUUGUAGUGUUGAUGUUCUAACGUUGACCCCUUAUCGGGGUUGCGGACAGUGCCUGGUGGGUAGUUUGACUGGGGCGGUCUCCUCCCAAAGAGUAACGGAGGAGCACGAAGGUGGGCUAAUCACGGUUGGACAUCGUGAGGUUAGUGCAAUGGCAUAAGCCCGCUUGACUGCGAGAAUGACAAUUCGAGCAGGUGCGAAAGCAGGUCAUAGUGAUCCGGUGGUUCUGAAUGGAAGGGCCAUCGCUCAACGGAUAAAAGGUACUCCGGGGAUAACAGGCUGAUACCGCCCAAGAGUUCAUAUCGACGGCGGUGUUUGGCACCUCGAUGUCGGCUCAUCACAUCCUGGGGCUGAAGUCGGUCCCAAGGGUAUGGCUGUUCGCCAUUUAAAGUGGUACGCGAGCUGGGUUUAGAACGUCGUGAGACAGUUCGGUCCCUAUCUGCCGUGGGCGUUGGAAGAUUGAAGGGGGCUGCUCCUAGUACGAGAGGACCGGAGUGGACGAACCUCUGGUGUUCGGGUUGUGUCGCCAGACGCAUUGCCCGGUAGCUAAGUUCGGAAUCGAUAACCGCUGAAAGCAUCUAAGCGGGAAGCGAGCCCUGAGAUGAGUCUUCCCUGAUACUUUAAGUAUCCUAAAGGGUUGUCGGAGACUACGACGUUGAUAGGUCAGGUGUGUAAGUGCUGUGAGGCAUUGAGCUAACUGAUACUAAUUGCCCGUGAGGCUUAACCAUACAACACCCAAGGGGUUU
RNAcentral lists this ribosomal RNA (1846 nucleotides) under Vibrio parahaemolyticus. RNAcentral describes it as "bacterial LSU rRNA". It matches the Rfam family "Bacterial large subunit ribosomal RNA", at positions 1118 to 2925 of the family's 2925-position model. Lineage: Bacteria; Pseudomonadati; Pseudomonadota; Gammaproteobacteria; Vibrionales; Vibrionaceae. The record is from RNAcentral.